This 121-nucleotide ribosomal RNA is filed under the name Phytophthora plurivora. RNAcentral describes it as "partial 28S ribosomal RNA". It matches the Rfam family "Eukaryotic large subunit ribosomal RNA", at positions 1 to 119 of the family's 3401-position model. Lineage: Eukaryota; Oomycota; Peronosporomycetes; Peronosporales; Peronosporaceae. The record is from RNAcentral.
UUGGACCUGAUAUCAGGCAAGAUUACCCGCUGAACUUAAGCAUAUCAAUAAGCGGAGGAAAAGAAACUAACUACGAUUCCGCUAGUAACGGCGAGUGAAGCGGGAAGAGCUCACGCUUAAA